Molecule: small nucleolar RNA, 105 nt
Filed under: Orbilia oligospora ATCC 24927
Lineage: Eukaryota; Fungi; Ascomycota; Orbiliomycetes; Orbiliales; Orbiliaceae
Description: Arthrobotrys oligospora ATCC 24927 Small nucleolar RNA Z13/snr52
Rfam family: Small nucleolar RNA Z13/snr52
About the family: Z13 or snr52 is a member of the C/D class of snoRNA which contain the C (UGAUGA) and D (CUGA) box motifs. Most of the members of the box C/D family function in directing site-specific 2'-O-methylation of substrate RNAs.
Source: Rfam by way of RNAcentral
UUCUGUCAAAUGAUGAAGUAUUUCGGAUGUAAAACAAUUUUAUUGUCAUUGUCCUAAAGCGCAAAACCAUGCGGAGAUUUCCGUUGCCUUCCUUCUGAUUGCAGC